GACGAACGCUGGCGGCGUGCCUAAUACAUGCAAGUAGAACGCUGAAGAGAGGAUCUUGCUCUUCUUGGAUGAGUUGCGAACGGGUGAGUAACGCGUAGGUAACCUGCCUUGUAGCGGGGGAUAACUAUUGGAAACGAUAGCUAAUACCGCAUAACAAUGGAUGACACAUGUCAUUUAUUUGAAAGGGGCAAUUGCUCUACUACAAGAUGUACCUGCGUUGUAUUAGCUAGUAGGUGAGGUAACGGCUCACCUAGGCGACGAUACAUAGCCGACCUGAGAGGGUGAUCGGCCACACUGGGACUGAGACACGGCCCAGACUCCUACGGGAGGCAGCAGUAGGGAAUCUUCGGCAAUGGGGGCAACCCUGACCGAGCAACGCCGCGUGAGUGAAGAAGGUUUUCGGAUCGUAAAGCUCUGUUGUAGGUCAAGAACGAGUGUGAGAGUGGAAAGUUCACACUGUGACGGUAGCUUACCAGAAAGGGACGGCUAACUACGUG
Molecule: ribosomal RNA, 497 nt
Filed under: uncultured bacterium
Lineage: Bacteria
Description: partial 16S ribosomal RNA
Rfam family: Bacterial small subunit ribosomal RNA
Source: RNAcentral